This 794-nucleotide ribosomal RNA is filed under the name Nyctixalus pictus (painted Indonesian treefrog). RNAcentral describes it as "partial small subunit ribosomal RNA". It matches the Rfam family "Bacterial large subunit ribosomal RNA", at positions 1544 to 2567 of the family's 2925-position model. Lineage: Eukaryota; Metazoa; Chordata; Amphibia; Anura; Rhacophoridae. The record is from RNAcentral.
UCUGAACCCCUCCCCCACACUGAGUGAUCCCAUAAGUAUAUGGGACACAUAAUGCUAGGACUAGUAACAAGAAUAUAACAUUCUCCUAAAUGUAAACUCAACCCAGACCGGAUGUACCACUGGCGAUUAACAAAAAUGAACUAACUACAGCAACUCUAACAAGAAAACCCUGUAAACACCACUCGUUAACCUAACACAAGAACAUUUCAGGAAAGAUUAACAGGAAAAGAAGGAACUCGGCAAAUGGCGGCCCCGCCUGUUUACCAAAAACAUCGCCUCUUGACACCUAUAAGAGGUCCAGCCUGCCCAGUGACAUAGUUCAACGGCCGCGGUAUCCUAACCGCGCGAAGGUAGCAUAAUCACUUGUUCUUUAAAUAGGGACUUGUAUCAAUGGCACCACGAGGGUUGUACUGUCUCCUUUCCCCAAUCAGUGAAACUGAUCUCCCUGUGAAGAAGCAGGGAUAAGCCUAUAAGACGAGAAGACCCCAUGGAGCUUUAAACCAAACGGCAACUCAUUCACAAACUCCCCCAUAACUAAAAGAGACGUGCCCGCAGGUUUUAGGUUGGGGCGACCGCGGAGUAAAAACUACCCUCCACGACGAAAAGAACUAAACCUUUACUCAAGAGCCACCCCUCUAGAAAUUAGCACACUAACGUCAAAUGACCCGAUUAUCGAUCAACGAACCAAGUUACCCUGGGGAUAACAGCGCAAUCUACUUCAAGAGCCCCUAUCGACAAGUAGGCUUACGACCUCGAUGUUGGAUCAGGGCAUCCCAGUGGUGCAGCCGCUACUA